This 733-nucleotide ribosomal RNA is filed under the name uncultured fungus. Its description in RNAcentral is "LSU rRNA". It matches the Rfam family "Eukaryotic large subunit ribosomal RNA", at positions 23 to 664 of the family's 3401-position model. Lineage: Eukaryota; Fungi. The record is from RNAcentral.
ACCCGCUGAACUUAAGCAUAUCAAUAAGCGGAGGAAAAGAAACUAACAAGGAUUCCCCUAGUAACGGCGAGUGAAGCGGGAAUAGCUCAAAUUUGAAAUCUCAUAGGUUUACCUGUGCGAAUUGUAGUUUAAAGAAACGUUUUCGGGAGCGGCUUGGGUAUAAGUCCUUUGGAAAGAGGCACCUAAGAGGGUGACAGUCCCGUGCAUGAUCCAAUGUCCGCUUCUAUGUGAUACGUUCUCAAAGAGUCAGGUAGUUUGGGAUUGCUGCCUAAAAUGGGUGGUAAAUACCAUCUAAAGCUAAAUAUUGGCGAGAGACCGAUAGCGAACAAGUACCGUGAGGGAAAGAUGAAAAGAACUUUGAAAAGAGAGUUAAACAGUACGUGAAAUUGCCAAAAGGGAAACGCUUGGAACCAGUAUUGUUUGCAUGUAAUCAAGUACACGUUCCGCAAGGGUCGCGUGUGCUGCACUUGCGUGUAGACAGGCCAACAUCAGUUUGAUUUGAGGUACAAAGCCUGAGAAAGGUAGCUUGGACUUGUCUGAGUGUUAUAGUCUCUGGUCAUGCCUUGGAUUGGACUGAGGACUGCAGCGUUUUUUGGGUUACCUGGUGGCUGCUUGAAACCAACCUUUAGACAGCAUGCUGACUUUGGGCGGGCGUAGGGUACUCACUAGGAUAACCACACCAGCGCUUAGGAUGUCGGCGAAAUGGUUCCAAACGACCCGUCUUGAAACACGG